UUCGCCCUUAGAGUUUGAUCCUGGCUCAGGACGAACGCUGGCGGCGCGCCUAACACAUGCAAGUCGAACGAGCGAGAGAGAGCUUGCUUUCUCGAGCGAGUGGCGAACGGGUGAGUAACGCGUGAGGAACCUGCCUCAAAGAGGGGGACAACAGUUGGAAACGACUGCUAAUACCGCAUAAGCCCACGACCUGGCAUCGGGUAGAGGGAAAAGGAGCAAUCCGCUUUGAGAUGGCCUCGCGUCCGAUUAGCUAGUUGGUGAGGUAACGGCCCACCAAGGCGACGAUCGGUAGCCGGACUGAGAGGUUGAACGGCCACAUUGGGACUGAGACACGGCCCAGACUCCUACGGGAGGCAGCAGUGGGGAAUAUUGCACAAUGGGGGAAACCCUGAUGCAGCGACGCCGCGUGGAGGAAGAAGGUCUUCGGAUUGUAAACUCCUGUUGUUGAGGAAGAUAAUGACGGUACUCAACAAGGAAGUGACGGCUAACUACGUGCCAGCAGCCGCGGUAAAACGUAGGUCACAAGCGUUGUCCGGAAUUACUGGGUGUAAAGGGAGCGCAGGCGGGAAGACAAGUUGGAAGUGAAAUCCAUGGGCUCAACCCAUGAACUGCUUUCAAAACUGUUUUUCUUGAGUAGUGCAGAGGUAGGCGGAAUUCCCGGUGUAGCGGUGGAAUGCGUAGAUAUUAGGAGGAACACCAGUGGCGAAGGCGGCUUACUGAACGAUAACUGACGCUGAGGCUCGAAAGCGUGGGGAGCAAACAGGAUUAGAUACCCUGGUAGUCCACACUGUAAACGAUGAAUACUAGGUGUGCGGGGACUGACCCCCUGCGUGCCGCAGUUAACACAAUAAGUAUUCCACCUGGGGAGUACGAUCGCAAGGUUGAAACUCAAAGGAAUUGACGGGGGCCCGCACAAGCGGUGGAUUAUGUGGUUUAAUUCGAAGCAACGCGAAGAACCUUACCAGGGUUUGACAUCCUGCUAACGAAGUAGAGAUACAUUAGGUGCCCUUCGGGGAAAGCAGAGACAGGUGGUGCAUGGUUGUCGUCAGCUCGUGUCGUGAGAUGUUGGGUUAAGUCCCGCAACGAGCGCAACCCUUAUCCUCAGUAGCCAGCACUUCGGGUGGGCACUCUGUGGAGACUGCCAGGGACAACCUGGAGGAAGGUGGGGAUGACGUCAAAUCAUCAUGCCCCUUAUGGCCUGGGCUACACACGUGCUACAAUGGCGUAAACAAAGGGAAGCAGAGUCGUGAGGCCGAGCAAAUCCCAAAAAUAACGUCUCAGUUCGGAUUGUAGUCUGCAACUCGACUACAUGAAGCUGGAAUCGCUAGUAAUCGCGAAUCAGAAUGUCGCGGUGAAUACGUUCCCGGGUCUUGUACUCACCGCCCGUCA
This 1389-nucleotide ribosomal RNA is filed under the name uncultured bacterium. RNAcentral's name for it is "16S ribosomal RNA". It matches the Rfam family "Bacterial small subunit ribosomal RNA". The record is from RNAcentral.